GACGAACGCUGGCGGCGUGCCUAAUACAUGCAAGUCGAGCGCAGGAAACUGACGGAACUCUUCGGAGGGAAGGCAGUGGAAUGAGCGGCGGACGGGUGAGUAACACGUAAGGAAACUGCCUCAAGGAUUGGGAUAACUCCGAGAAAUCGGAGCUAAUACCGGAUAGUUCAACGGACCGCAUGGUCCGCUGAUGAAAGGCGCUUCGGCGUCACCUUGAGAUGGCCUUGCGGUGCAUUAGCUAGGUGGGGGGGUAACGGCCCACCAAGGCGACGAUGCAUAGCCGAACUGAGAGGGUGAUCGGCCAAACUGGGACUGAGACACGGCCCAGACUCCUACGGGAGGCAGCAGUAGGGAAUCUUCCACAAUGGACGAAAGUCUGAUGGAGCAACGCCGCGUGAGUGAUGAAGGUUUUCGGAUCGUAAAACUCUGUUGUAAGGGAAGAACACGUACGAGAGGGAAUGCUCGUACCUUGACGGUACCUUACGAGAAAGCCACGGCUAACUACGUGCCAGCAGCCGCCGUAA
This 524-nucleotide ribosomal RNA is filed under the name uncultured bacterium. RNAcentral's name for it is "partial 16S ribosomal RNA". It matches the Rfam family "Bacterial small subunit ribosomal RNA", at positions 28 to 523 of the family's 1533-position model. The record is from RNAcentral.